This 93-nucleotide transfer RNA is filed under the name Scedosporium apiospermum. It matches the Rfam family "tRNA". Rfam says of the family: Transfer RNA (tRNA) molecules are approximately 80 nucleotides in length. Their secondary structure includes four short double-helical elements and three loops (D, anti-codon, and T loops). Further hydrogen bonds mediate the characteristic L-shaped molecular structure. tRNAs have two regions of fundamental functional importance: the anti-codon, which is responsible for specific mRNA codon recognition, and the 3' end, to which the tRNAs corresponding amino acid is attached (by aminoacyl-tRNA synthetases). tRNAs cope with the degeneracy of the genetic code in two manners: having more than one tRNA (with a specific anti-codon) for a particular amino acid; and 'wobble' base-pairing, i.e. permitting non-standard base-pairing at the 3rd anti-codon position. The record is from Rfam by way of RNAcentral. Lineage: Eukaryota; Fungi; Ascomycota; Sordariomycetes; Microascales; Microascaceae.
GCGGGGAUAGCUCAGUUGGGAGAGCGUCAGACUGAAGGAAAAACUUCGGUUUAGUCUAUCUGAAGGUCCUCGGUUCAAUCCCGAGUCACCGCA